GAUGAACGCUAGCGGCAGGCUUAACACAUGCAAGUCGAGGGGUAUAGUUCUUCGGAAUUAGAGACCGGCGCACGGGUGCGUAACGCGUAUGCAAUCUACCUUUCACAGAGGGAUAGCCCCAGAGAAAUUUGGAUUAAUACCUCAUAGUAUAGCAGUUUCGCAUGAAACCACUAUUAAAGUCACAACGGUGAAAGAUGAGCAUGCGUCCCAUUAGCUAGUUGGUAAGGUAACGGCUUACCAAGGCUACGAUGGGUAGGGGUCCUGAGAGGGAGAUCCCCCACACUGGUACUGAGACACGGACCAGACUCCUACGGGAGGCAGCAGUGAGGAAUAUUGGACAAUGGGCGCAAGCCUGAUCCAGCCAUGCCGCGUGCAGGAUGACGGUCCUAUGGAUUGUAAACUGCUUUAUACAGGAAGAAACACUACUUCGUGAAGUAGCUUGACGGUACUGUAAGAAUAAGGAUCGGCUAACUCCGUGCCAGCAGCCG
RNAcentral lists this ribosomal RNA (488 nucleotides) under uncultured bacterium. RNAcentral's name for it is "bacterial SSU rRNA". It matches the Rfam family "Bacterial small subunit ribosomal RNA", at positions 28 to 517 of the family's 1533-position model. The record is from RNAcentral.